AUCGCGGACCGGGCCCCUCUGGCGCGGCGAUUUGGCCAACCUUGGUAAUCGCUGCGUGAUGUCGGACCGCAUCG
RNAcentral lists this non-coding RNA (74 nucleotides) under Novosphingobium sp. CECT 9465. RNAcentral describes it as "terC". It matches the Rfam family "terC RNA". The record is from RNAcentral. Lineage: Bacteria; Pseudomonadati; Pseudomonadota; Alphaproteobacteria; Sphingomonadales; Sphingomonadaceae.